CGAUCCCCCGCAUCUCCACC
RNAcentral lists this non-coding RNA (20 nucleotides) under Arabidopsis thaliana (thale cress). Lineage: Eukaryota; Viridiplantae; Streptophyta; Magnoliopsida; Brassicales; Brassicaceae. The record is from RNAcentral.